GUAAUGCCUACGCGGGCCUGGUAGUGGGGGAUAACGUCCGCGCGGGGGCGCUAAUACCGCAUACGUCCUGAGGGAGAAAGUGGGGGAUCUUCGGACCUCACGCUAUCAGAUGAGCCUAGGUCGGAUUAGCUAGUUGGUGGGGUAAAGGCCUACCCGGAUGCGACGAUCCGUAACUGGUCUGAGAUGCAGAUCAGUCACACUGGAACUGAGACACGGUCCAGACUCCUACGAUGCACAGCAGUGGGGAAUAUUGGACAAUGGGCGAAAGCCUGAUCCAGAUGCACGCGUGUGUGAAGAAGGUCUUCGACCGCAUGGCACUUUAAGUUGGGAACCGCAUGAGUAAGUUAAUACCUUGCUGUUUUGACGUUACCAACAGAAUAAGCACCGGCUAACUUCGUGCCAGCAACCGCAUGAUACGAAGGGUGCAAGCGUUAAUCGGAAUUACUGGGCGUAAAGCGCGCGUAGGUGCUGCCCAU
This 476-nucleotide ribosomal RNA is filed under the name uncultured bacterium. Its description in RNAcentral is "bacterial SSU rRNA". It matches the Rfam family "Bacterial small subunit ribosomal RNA", at positions 110 to 586 of the family's 1533-position model. The record is from RNAcentral.